Long non-coding RNA from Rhinolophus ferrumequinum (greater horseshoe bat), 2446 nucleotides. RefSeq lists it as uncharacterized. NCBI's taxonomy places the organism in Eukaryota, Metazoa, Chordata, Mammalia, Chiroptera, Rhinolophidae. The record is from RefSeq and is a predicted model, not a curated record. The transcript is spliced from 5 exons.
CCCACAUGCAGGGCACACGCCAGGAGCUGCCAGGUGUACUUGGCGGUGCUGGUUCUCAGGGCCGGUUUCCGGCCAGGACUCUAAGGUGGCUUCAUCAUGAAUGAUUUCUCACAGCGACUCCAAUCCACUCUGAAUUCCCUUGGAGGAACUGACAGGAUAUACCCUUCCUGGACUGCCAGCCGGGCCACUGCACACAGGGAAGCUGGCAGCAUCACCGCCCGGACCUCACAGAUGUCCUGAGAAGAAUUGUAACUUUCAUUGUGGCACCCACGGAAGGAGUAUUUUCAAGCACCCUCAUCUAAGUAAAGGACUGGGUGCUCUGUGAAAGCAAGGAUCAUGUUUAUUCUGGCCACCACUGUUUCCCCCCAAGCCUGGCACAGAGAAGAUGCUCGCAGGGACAGUGCUGAACUCCCUACCUGGGUGGAGAAUAUGGUUUAGAGAAACGUGAUGGUGACUAGUGAGAGCCCUGGGCAAGUUCCGGAAAGCCAUUCAUGGAACUAGCUUGAUCAAACACCGGACGUCAGCAGGUAAUCUCAAGGCGGUUAUUCUUCUUUAAAAUUACUCAUCGAAUUAACGGAAGCAAAACCUGAGCACCAUGUUCACCAUGAAAUCGGAAGAAGAAAAAACAACCACACAAGAGCUAUGUGGGUGCAGGAGUUUCUGCUGCGAACUGUAAGCUUCCUGCAAACAGGAGCUGUGCCUGGAGUUUGAUUCUCCGUCUGCAUCCCCAACGUCACACACAGUGUACGUUCUCCGUAAGUCUGCUGAUGGAGAAGGAAAAAAGUGAAGCAAAGGGUCGGUACCAUAGCAAGCUUGAGGGAAACGGAUGGAAAGAGAUUUAGGGCAGUUUCUCUAGAGCCUUUUCAAGGCAAGUCUGUGCAAUAGAGAGGGACUUGUUAAUCAUUCAGAAAUCCGGUCAUAACAGAACCGAGGAAAACAGCAUCAUGGUUACAUAAUACUGAUUUCAUGAAAAGUGAAGGCUGCCAGCUUGAAACCACAGCUCCUUCCCUUUCCAGCAAACCCCCAUCCUGACAAUGUCUUGGACUGUUUGCUUCCAUGUCAAAGCAGAAUGGUGUGUUCUGUGUCACGUCAGUGUGUGCUGGGCUCACCUGGGGAUCCUGUCACACGGGAUCUGCUUCAGCAGGUCCGGCCAAGGGCUGAGAGGAUGGCUUUCUGACACCCAAGCUGCCGGUGCGUGGGCCGCACACUGGGAAUGGAGCCUGUGGACCAGUGCUGCCCACGCACGGCUCCCUGCUGAGCCACCGCCUGGGUCCCACCUGGGGUGUGGCCUGGGCUUUGGACAUUCUCAAGCAUCCCCAGGUGGUCUGAGUGUGGGAACCACCGCUCUGGUUGAUACAGAAUUAGGUUCUAAAGCGCUGGGUCUACCUUUCUGCUCCUCUCUGGCAGGCUGGCUUAUCUUGGGCCCAUCAGGUACCUGUCUGUCAGUUCCUGAAACUUCUGGAUACACAUGCCUGGGUCACCGACGAUCCCUUUGGAGUCCAUUUUCCUAGGUCUGAGGUGAGGGGCUGGCUCCCCAACCCUCCCGUCUCUCCAAACUUCCUGAAGGCUGGAGGCAGGUGGUUACCUAAGAGCCAGAAAGUGUUUCACCAACCCUGCCGGAGGCCGCCCACCUCGCUUUGGAUGUGUGAGGGCUCAGUCGGCGGCUUAGGACGGCAGGCCCUGCACCCUCCACAGAAGGGCUGGCCCUUGGCAGGGAUAAGCUGCCAGCUUUGGAAUGUUCUGCCUGAUAAGAGUCCUUGUACACAUGGGACGUUGAACUACACCAGAGAGCUUAGGUUGACCAUUUAUGACGAGGGCCCUCCUUUGUGUCUGACUCUGGAGAGGCCGGCGACCUCCAAGGUCAGGUAGCUAAGGUCAGGCAGUCGGUGCCCAGGUGACUGACCCUCGACAGAACAGAAGCUCAGCCGAGCCUCCCUGGUUGGCAGUGCUUUGUGUGUUGUCACACUUGGCUUCUGGGAAAAUAAAGCGCUGUCUGUGCAUCUCCGCUGGGAGAGGACAGCUGGAAGCUCAUGUCUGGUCUGUCUGGGCUCCGGCCUCUGCACCUUUGUCUUUGCUGAUUUUCACCUCUACCCUUUCACUGUCAUGUGUUGUAACUGUAAAUAGGGCAGCUUUUCUGAGUUCUCUGAAGCCCUUUUGCCACGUCAUUGAACCUGAGCAUGGUCUCGGGAACCCCCAGCACUGGUGCCAAAAAUGAAACUAAAACGUUACUUUUUUAACACAUUAUUACAGUAUAAUAAUAAUAAAAAAACCUCAAAGCUCCAGAAAGUUAGAGCUUAAUAUAACAAAAACCCAUGUGCCCACCACAGAGAAUAAAUACAUUUUUCUCCGAUUUGCUUCAGUUCUUCCUGAAUUUUCUUUUUUUGAUUAGGAAAUGAAAGAGAACAGACACAAACCGAGUUUUUCGGUAGCCCACCCCGGUCCUGUU